RNAcentral lists this ribosomal RNA (486 nucleotides) under uncultured soil bacterium. RNAcentral's name for it is "bacterial SSU rRNA". It matches the Rfam family "Bacterial small subunit ribosomal RNA", at positions 26 to 506 of the family's 1533-position model. The record is from RNAcentral.
AGAUUGAACGCUGGCGGCAGGCCUAACACAUGCAAGUCGAGCGGUAGAGAGGUGCUUGCAUCUCUUGAGAGCGGCGGACGGGUGAGUAAUGCCUAGGAAUCUGCCUAGUGGUGGGGGAUAACGUUCGGAAACGGACGCUAAUACCGCAUACGUCCUACGGGAGAAAGCGGGGGACCUUCGGGCCUCGCGCCAUUAGAUGAGCCUAGGUCGGAUUAGCUAGUUGGUGAGGUAAUGGCUCACCAAGGCGACGAUCCGUAACUGGUCUGAGAGGAUGAUCAGUCACACUGGAACUGAGACACGGUCCAGACUCCUACGGGAGGCAGCAGUGGGAAUAUUGGACAAUGGGCGAAAGCCUGAUCCAGCCAUGCCGCGUGUGUGAAGAAGGUCUUCGGAUUGUAAAAGCUACUUUAAGUUGGAAGGAAGGCAGUUACCUAAUACGUAUCUGUUUUGACGUUACCGACAGAAUAAGCAACCGGCUAACUCUGU